AAGAUUGAUAGGAUAAUAAUUUCCAGCAGCAGGUUGGUUCACUUGAAGAUCCCAGUCAGCUCUAUAAUCCCGAACUCUUUUAAGGAAAUCACGUCCAUUAGAGUCUGUGUAGAAUGUUUUGUUGCUUUUGAUGUCAGUUUGAAUCUGAGUCACCAGCUCUUUCCCAAUUCCAUUGUCAAUAGGUAUGGGGCCAACAGUGAACUCAACUUCAACGUGCUCCUUUUCCUUGUACACUCUAGUGAUCUGAUAUAUCCAUGAAUUGAUAUUUUGAUGAACUUCAUCUAGCAGCGGACCUCGUAGAAUGGUAGCUGGGACCUUUCCCUCAGGGUGGAUGGGGAAUGAGCCGUUUGGGCGAAACACAUAUGCUCCAGAUGCCUGAAUGUCUUUAUAAUCAUCCUUGCUUCCAUCGUCUGCAGAAUAAUAACUGAAUGAUUGCUCCAAAGAGCUUCUAACCUGGUUUCUCUUAUUAAAAUAUUGAGUAAACUUUGCCCCAUUUGCAGAAUAUAACAGUUUCAAGUUCCCCGGCCCCACUUCUACUGCAUCACUUUGACUUCCAUCAGUUUUGUAGAACGUCUGUGGUAUUGAAGCAGCAACUGCUUGUUUACCACUUGUUAUAACAUAGGAGCUAAAGCCCAAAGGUGGAACAGUGGCUGUAAACACAAGCCAAUAUUUGGGGCUUGAUGUAGGGGAUUCACCAAAGUAUGCUGCAGCAUAGUAGUUCCUUAUUACUAUUGAUUCUUUAACUAUUGGAAGAAGCUGUGAUUCAAUUUCUUUUCCAGUGGAAUCCUCAACGAUGACAUUCUUAUUGACGACAGGGAUUCUGACAACAUCUGUUCUUUUCCACCCAAGAGCAUUGUACACGACAACCACUAAUUUUUUGCCUGGAGCAAGAUCAGCUUCUGUUGGGGGACAAUAACUUAUAUUCAACAACGGGCACUGCUUGAAAUUUAUCUGAGGAUUCUUGCAUCCAGAUGCUGAAGCUGAUUCCACCAUACAAGCAAGUGAAUUAGACACUAAAUCCUCAGCCUGCUUGUAACCUAUGAACAGUCGUUUGGCAUAAUCAUCAGCAACAUGUUGCUUUGAAGUGCCACUGACAGCAUCAUGAUGUUGAGCAAUGGCUAGGGCAUCAGCCAAUAUUUCGGUUGUUGGUCCUGUCUCAAUUCUUCCUUUAAAGAAUUCUAAUUGCCUUGCUGCCAAAUAAUAGCCACUCAUCAUUCUAACAUAGAGUUUGAGAGCAGGCCUACUUGUAAAGUAUCCAGUCCAAUAAGCAUUAAUACGGUCUGCGUACGGGAAAUAGUCAUCCGUCUUGAGAGGCCAUGACUCGUCCAAAGCAUACUUUGCAUCAGUAUAAAUUGAAGGGCUUGAAUAUAAAGCAUUGACACGACCAUCUUGGUUUACGUAGUGAAUGAGCUUGUCCAUAUUCCGAAACCAUGUAUGAGCAUAUUGGUACUUGAAGUCGGUUCCCAUGGUCCACAUUAUAUG
RNAcentral lists this unclassified non-coding RNA (1482 nucleotides) under Hevea brasiliensis (rubber tree). Lineage: Eukaryota; Viridiplantae; Streptophyta; Magnoliopsida; Malpighiales; Euphorbiaceae. The record is from RNAcentral.